CGCGGUGAAUACGUUCCCGGACCUUGUACACACCGCCCGUCAAGCCAUGGAAGCUGGGUGUACCUAAAGUCGGUAACCGCAAGGAGCCGCCUAGGGUAAAACUAGUAACUGGGGCU
Molecule: ribosomal RNA, 116 nt
Filed under: uncultured bacterium
Lineage: Bacteria
Description: partial 16S ribosomal RNA
Rfam family: Bacterial small subunit ribosomal RNA
Source: RNAcentral